Molecule: transfer RNA, 92 nt
Filed under: Blumeria hordei DH14
Lineage: Eukaryota; Fungi; Ascomycota; Leotiomycetes; Helotiales; Erysiphaceae
Description: tRNA-Leu for anticodon CAG
Rfam family: tRNA
About the family: Transfer RNA (tRNA) molecules are approximately 80 nucleotides in length. Their secondary structure includes four short double-helical elements and three loops (D, anti-codon, and T loops).
Source: Rfam by way of RNAcentral
GGCAACUUGGCCGAGCGGUUAUGGCGCCAGUUUCAGGUAUAAUCCCGACCUACUGGUUCGAGAGAGCGUGGGUUCGAGUCCCACAGUUGUCA